AUGAACUACGGAAAUAGAGUAACUGAACUAAUGCCCAUCACUGGUUUAUCAAGGUACUUACCUUCUGUACAGUUGUAUCUUAGUAAGACAAAUUGCUUAAGACAGCCUCUGUUUCCUGUUGUAUCGCAAUCAUGGUCACUGAUAAAAGGAAGAGAAAAUUGCAAGCUGUGUGACCCAAUCCAGUCUUCUCGCCCAGCAGCUGGCACUGCACGCUCAGGAAGUAACUGCUCUGGGAAGGUGUGAAUUUCUUCCUACUUCUCAUUUCCCCGUGCAAUCUGUUGAGGUGCAGCCUCACAAACUAUAAAAUUGCCUUAUAUAUUUCUUUUUUUUUUUAAAUUUCAGAACCCAGGAAUGGGUUUAUUAAUAUUAAAAAGCUCCAAGAGUUUCUUUCCUUUUUUUUCAGCCAUGAUUCUAGCUUCCUUUCAGGAUCUGAGCUGAUCUGCUUUGCUAUAGAAAAAGAGUGCAAAUUAAAAUCACCACCUUACUACCAUCAUCCAAUUGCAAUUGAAGACACUCACAAUCUCCUUCCAAACUAUCAGCUCAGGUCAUAGCACUGGGUCAAGGCGUUAACUGUAGUACGUGAAAACAGAAAUGAAAGGAGUAUUAAUGUCCUCCAGAUGUCUAAGCAAUUUUUUUUGCUGAUAUAAGACUUGCCCUUAGAAACUCAUUCCAUUAAGCCCAUCCUGUGCCCAGGAUUCCUUUUUCAUCUUCCUUCUUAUAAAGCAGUCCUGGUAAACCACAGGCAGCUAGAUUUUAUUGUGAGAAUUCUUUAUAUCUGCAAACUACUUGUUCCUUGCUUUUGUAAUACAUGCAUAGCAUUUGCUUACAUUACAUAACUGCAAAAAUACGUAUUUAUAACCAAACAUCGGAAGCCUAUGUUUGGUAACACCUAAUUCUCAUUUGUUCCCGACCUUGAGUACUGCAUUAAUACUUGCAGUAACUUUUCAUUCUGUGAGCAUGUGUACACCCUUAAAACCUCAUUACCUUCUACCCAGAAGUUCAGUGCUUUUCUUUUUUCAUGCAGUCAGACAGGAAAAGGCUGUCUGAGGAGCUUACCUGUUUCAAGGUAUUCACAUUCAAACUGGUUUUCUUUCCCAAGAGUUUGAGUUCUAGGAUUUGCACUGUGUGAAAUGCAUUCUUGUUUUGGGGAAUACAAUUUAUAAAGAAUAAGAAAAAUGAACUCUGCAUACUAAAUAAAGCUUGCCUUUCCAUUGCCA
Molecule: long non-coding RNA, 1217 nt
Filed under: Phasianus colchicus (ring-necked pheasant)
Lineage: Eukaryota; Metazoa; Chordata; Aves; Galliformes; Phasianidae
Description: lncRNA (ENSPCLG00000002172.1)
Source: RNAcentral